CUACGGGGUGCACCAGUGAGGAAUAUUGCACAAUGGGGGUAACCCUGAUGCCGCAACGCCGCGUGGAGGAUGACGCAUUUCGGUGUGUAAACUCCUUUUAUAUGUCAAGAAAAUGACGGUAGCAUAUGAAUAAGCACCGGCUAACUCCGUGCCAGCAGCCGCGGUAAUACGGAGGGUGCAAGCGUUACUCGGAAUCACUGGGCGUAGAGGACGCGUAGGCGGGUUGGAAAGUCAGGUGUGAAAUCCUACAGCUUAACUGUAGAACUGCACUUGAAACUUCUAAUCUAGAGUAUGGGAGGGGGAGAUGGAAUUAGUGGUGUAGGGGUAAAAUCCGUAGAUAUCACUAGGAAUACCUAAAGCGAAGGCGAUCUCCUGGAACAUUACUGACGCUAAGGCGUGAAAGCGUGGGGAGCAAACAGGAUUAGAUACCCGGGUAGUC
This 439-nucleotide ribosomal RNA is filed under the name uncultured bacterium. Its description in RNAcentral is "partial 16S ribosomal RNA". It matches the Rfam family "Bacterial small subunit ribosomal RNA", at positions 339 to 795 of the family's 1533-position model. The record is from RNAcentral.